This 1830-nucleotide ribosomal RNA is filed under the name human gut metagenome. RNAcentral's name for it is "bacterial LSU rRNA". It matches the Rfam family "Bacterial large subunit ribosomal RNA", at positions 468 to 2313 of the family's 2925-position model. The record is from RNAcentral.
AAAUACUCCCGAGAGACCGAUAGCGAACCAGUACCGUGAGGGAAAGGUGAAAAGAACCCCGAGCAGGGGAGUGAAAUAGACCCUGAACCCGUCUGCCUACAAGCGGUCGGAGCAUCGUCAAGAUGUGACGGCGUGCCUUUUGCAUAAUGAACCUACGAGUUACCUUCCCCGGCAAGGUUAAGUACCUAAGGUACGGAGCCGAAGCGAAAGCGAGUCUGAAGAGGGCGGCCAGUCGGGGGGGGUAGACGCGAAACCGAGUGAUCUACCCUUGGCCAGGUUGAAGGUUGGGUAACACCAACUGGAGGACCGGAUGGGUAAGCGUUGAAAAGCUUUCCAAUGAGCUGAGGGUAGGGGUGAAAGGCUAAUCAAACUCGGAGAUAGCUCGUACUCCCCGAAAUGCAUUUAGGUGCAGCCUCUUUAUAGUAUAUCGUGAGGUAGAGCGACUGAUUGGAUGCGAGGGCUUCACCGCCUAUCAAGUCCAGAUAAACUCCGAAUGCGCGAUAUAUAUUUACAGGGAGUGAGGGCGCGGGUGCUAAGGUCCGUGUCCGAGAGGAGAAGAAUCCAGACCACCGGCUAAGGCCCCCAAAUGAUCGUUGAGUUGAACUAACGAGGUCGGAUCGCAGAGACAGCUAGGAUGUUGGCUUGGAAGCAGCCAUUCAUUUAAAGAGUGCGUAACAGCUCACUAGUCGAGCGAUCUGGCGUGGAUAAUAAUCGGGCAUAAACGAUCUGCCGAAGCCGUGGAUGUCGCAAGACAUGGUAGGGGAGCAUUCCAUGCGGCGUCGAAGAUGAGGGAUGACCCUUGUUGGAGCGCAUGGAAAAGCAAAUGUAGGUAUGAGUAACGAUAAGGGGGGCGAGAAACCCCCCCGCCGAAAGACCAAGGUUUCCUGAUCAACGCUAAUCGGAUCAGGGUGAGUCGGGACCUAAGGCAAAGCCGAACGGCGCCGCCGAUGGAAGAAUGGGUUAAUAUUCCCAUACUGCCUCAUGGAGUGACGUGGAGACGGAGAAGUGACAGUCCUGCCGGCUGACGGAAUAGCCGGUUGAAGGGUGUAGAUAUUGAUUCCCGUAGGCAAAUCCGCGGGGAGAGUCGAACCUGAGAGUAUACGGAGCGCUUGCGCAACGUAAUAUGGACGUAACCAUGCUCCCGAGAAAAUCCGCUAAACUUAUCCAUGCGGCACCCGUACCGUAAACGGACACACGUGGUCGGGUUGAGAAUACUGAGGCGCUCGAGUGAUUCACGGUUAAGGAACUAGGCAAAUUGACCCUGUAACUUCGGGAUAAAGGGUCCCUACCCGGUGACGGGAGGGCGCAGAGAAUAGGUCCAGGCAACUGUUUAACAAAAACACAGGGCUGUGCGAAAUUUCAAGAUGAAGUAUACAGCCUGACACCUGCCCGGUGCCGGAAGGUUAAGAGGAGAGCUUAUCGCAAGAGAAGGCUUGAAUUGAAGCCCCGGUAAACGGCGGCCGUAACUAUAACGGUCCUAAGGUAGCGAAAUUCCUUGUCGGGUAAGUUCCGACCUGCACGAAUGGUGUAAUGAUCUGGACACUGUCUCAACCGUGAGCUCAGUGAAAUUGUAGUAUCGGUGAAGAUGCCGAUUACCCGCGAUGGGACGAAAAGACCCCGUGAACCUUUACUAUAGCUUUACAUUGAAUUUGGGCAGACGAUGUGUAGGAUAGGCCGGAGGCUUUGAAGGGGGUACGCCAGUAUCCUUGGAGCCGCCGUUGAAAUACGGCCCUUCGGUUGUUUGAGUUCUAACUCCUAGGCAGGAGGACACUGUAUGGUGGGUAGUUUGACUGGGGUGGUCGCCUCCAAAAGCGUAACGGAGGCUUCUAA